Molecule: long non-coding RNA, 833 nt
Organism: Podarcis raffonei (Aeolian wall lizard)
Lineage: Eukaryota; Metazoa; Chordata; Lepidosauria; Squamata; Lacertidae
Exons: 3
Source: RefSeq, a predicted model, not a curated record
CAGUUAUAGAUAAUUGAUUAUAGAUAAUUGAUUACUAGCAGUUUGCUGUUGAGGAAAAGGGUAUAUUAAGAAUUAUCCUUUUGAGCCAUGACUUUGACUGAUACUUUCAAAUAAGCAUUUUUAUUUUCAUUAUCAUACUUUAGACACCAGUAUAAAUGCAGUUUAAGUAGAUAAGAGCUGUGCCUUUGUUGCAGAGCUAAUAAUUAGCAUGUAGAUUCUCCUAAUGCUUUUGAUAACAGGAGGAACCUUUAAAAAAAAGAAAAUAAAAAGAAAAGGUGUUUUCAAGGAAGGACAAAAUAUAGAUUAGUGUAUUUAGGUCACAGCACUGACAACUCAAAUUGUUAUCCAACAAUUGCUGGGCUCGUAUACCCUGUCAUAUAUGGAUCUAUGUUUAAUAUCAGACUGUCAUUUUACAACAUAAAGCUGACCUGUUGGUUAAGUGGCCUUAGAUUGACAUACUACGCAGCUGACUCCAAGAUAGUGAAAACUUGACAAGAAUCUAGGAGUACAGAAUCUAGGAAUUUGCCUGGAGCCUUGGGUCUGCACAAACUGUUGCCUCGGGUAAACAGGAGCUCUUUGCAGUCAUCCCUGAUCACUGUGGAUGCCAACUGGAUCAAUAGUCUUCCACUUAGAGAAAUAACCUCUGUGGCUUCUUCAAGGGUGAUCCCAUGCCCUGCAUCCUGAAGUCUGUCGGAUCCUGCAGCUUGGAGCAAUGGCACAUUCAUGUCAUAUGCACCCAAAGGAAUAUUUCCAAACGACUUCUGUUAUUGGAGUGGAGUAGUUGGAAAUCACACCUGAUACAGUGAUAUCAAUAAAAAUGUAUUGACUCCUUC